GAGGGUAUAGCUCAACUGGUAGAGUGAGUGUGUGUUUAGCAUGCAUGAGGUCCUGGGUUCAAUCCCCAGUACUUCCU
RNAcentral lists this transfer RNA (77 nucleotides) under Camelus bactrianus (Bactrian camel). It matches the Rfam family "tRNA". From Rfam's summary of the family: Transfer RNA (tRNA) molecules are approximately 80 nucleotides in length. Their secondary structure includes four short double-helical elements and three loops (D, anti-codon, and T loops). Lineage: Eukaryota; Metazoa; Chordata; Mammalia; Artiodactyla; Camelidae. The record is from Rfam by way of RNAcentral. RNAcentral also lists the same sequence under 1 other name.